This 75-nucleotide transfer RNA is filed under the name Acidobacteriota bacterium. RNAcentral describes it as "Acidobacteria bacterium tRNA-Gln". It matches the Rfam family "tRNA". From Rfam's summary of the family: Transfer RNA (tRNA) molecules are approximately 80 nucleotides in length. Their secondary structure includes four short double-helical elements and three loops (D, anti-codon, and T loops). Further hydrogen bonds mediate the characteristic L-shaped molecular structure. tRNAs have two regions of fundamental functional importance: the anti-codon, which is responsible for specific mRNA codon recognition, and the 3' end, to which the tRNAs corresponding amino acid is attached (by aminoacyl-tRNA synthetases). tRNAs cope with the degeneracy of the genetic code in two manners: having more than one tRNA (with a specific anti-codon) for a particular amino acid; and 'wobble' base-pairing, i.e. permitting non-standard base-pairing at the 3rd anti-codon position. Lineage: Bacteria; Pseudomonadati; Acidobacteriota. The record is from RNAcentral. RNAcentral also lists the same sequence under 2 other names.
UGGGGCGUCGACAAGUGGUUAAGUCACCGGUCUUUGACACCGGCUUCGGAGGUUCGAAUCCUCCCGCCCCAGCCA